Pelobates cultripes (western spadefoot toad) is the source of this 233-nucleotide non-coding RNA. NCBI's taxonomy places the organism in Eukaryota, Metazoa, Chordata, Amphibia, Anura, Pelobatidae. The record is from the annotation of a GenBank genome assembly.
AUCUUAUUUCGUUGUACCACUGCCCUUCUUUUUUUAACAGCAGUAAACAUUGUAUACUUCUGCACAGACACUAGAUGUGUUUUAACAUACAGGUAUAUAUCAAUCCCAUUCAGUCAGGUGAGCCUGAUCAUUUCUAAAGAAAGGGGAGGGUGCCCACAAUGACAUGAUUGCAAGCUCUUCAGUCCAGACAUAUCUAGAGAUGUGGGUAAAAGAGAGGAAUGCUUUCAGUUCAU